Molecule: long non-coding RNA, 2702 nt
Filed under: Sus scrofa (pig)
Lineage: Eukaryota; Metazoa; Chordata; Mammalia; Artiodactyla; Suidae
Description: lncRNA (ENSSSCG00025027104.1)
Source: RNAcentral
AUGACAUACUCAAUUUCAUUUCUAGUGACCAGUCUGUUUAGUUUAUCUGUUUCUUAUUGGUUCAGUUUUGGCAGGCUGCAAGUCUCUAGAAAGUUGUCCAUUUCUUCUAGGUUGUCAAAUUUGUUGGCAUACAAUUGUUCAUAGUAUUCUCUCAUGGUUUUUUGUAUUUCUGUAGUAUCUGUUGUGACUGCUCCUUUCUCAUUUCUUAUUUUGAUUUUUUUUUACCAACUGAAUGUAUCGUUCACUCAAACAAUAUGUUUGAUAGAAUAUUUCAGGGAAGUCAUCACACGUUUAAAAUUAUGUGAUUUCUGCCAAAGGUGCAAGUCAGUGGAGGAAAAGAUAAUCUUUUGAAUAAAUGGUCUUGGAUCAAUUGAAUAUUUAUAUGGACAGUUUUUAACCCUGACCCUUUUCUCAUAUUAUACACACUUACUAACUCAAAAUGGAUCAAAGAUCUAAAGUGAAGCAUAAAACAAUGAAACUUCUAGAAGAAAACAUAAGAGAAUAUUUUCAUGACCUUAAGAUAGUCAAUGUUUCUUAAACACAAAAGCACAAAUCAUGAAAAAAGAGACUAAUAAAAUAGACUUCAUUAAUUUAAGAACUUUCAUUUAUCAAAAAUCAUUUUUAGGGCAUUCCCUUUGUGCCUCAGAGGUUAACGAACACAACUAGAAUCCAUGGGGAUGUAGGUUUGAACCCUGGCCUUGCUCAGUGGGUUAAGGAUCUGGCAUUGCCGUGAGCUUUGGUGUAGGUCACAGAUGCAGCUUGGAUCCCACAUUUCUGUGGCUCUGGACUGUGGCUUUCGCUGGCAGCUGAAGCUCCAAUUCGAUCCCUAGCGUGGGAACAUCCAUAGGCUAACUUAUAUCCAAAAUAUAUAAGGUACUACUAUAAAUCAAUAAGAGAAAAACAAUUCAAUUUUUUGAAAAAUGGGCAAAAGAUUUGAAUAUGCAUUGCAUGAAUCUACAUCUCUAAAUGGUCAAGAAGCAUGUGAAAAAAGAUUCAAUAUCAUUUUUCUUGGGGGAAAUGCAAAAUUAAAACCAUAAUCAGAUAACACUACACAGUAACAUUUUCAAAAUUAGAUAUUACUAUUCUUGUACAUUCCUGGUGGGGGUGUAAAUUGGGACAACUCCUCUGCUCCUACUGUUCCUACUGUUUCCUACACCCACUGGCAAAUUCUUGUCUGGCCACAAAUUCUUUUGCUCAUCACAAGGUGAUAGAUUUUUCUCUCACAUUGUUUUCCCUUUCUAGUUCAACUGGGAAAUAUCAAACACAUAAUAAUAGGUAAGUAUAUAAACCUGUACCAGCCUCCUUCCUUAUCUGUUCAUCCUACCUUUACUUUCUGAAUUUUCCUUGGUUUCUUACUACAAGACAAAGGGACCUGUGUUUCCUCACUUAUUAAUGGAAGGGGUUUCAAUCUAUCAUAUUCAGUGUAACAGGUAAAUGGUUUAUGCCUUGAUGAGUUUCUGGAGAAUAAGAUACAUGGAGAGCCUCUCAAACAUAGAAAACUUAAAGCAUUUGUAUUCCCCUCAAGGUGCCUUAUAUAUACUAAUCAAUGUAAGUGGGGAAUGAAUUUAGUGUUACUAUGGUCAGAAAAAAGCAAAUAUCUAGGAUAUUUAAGAAAGUGAAGUUGCUCUCACAUUCUAGGCAUGACAGGGGAAUGAUUCUCCUAUUUUCUCUUUGUUAUUUUCAUUCUGUCUCAUCAUAUAGUAAUAUAUUUUCUUUCUUGUAUCGUAGAUGCCCAGAGCAACAAAUGAAAAAAAAAUCCACUUCUUUUUUCUCUUUCUCCUCACAGUCAUCACACAUUGAAAUCACUGUUUUCUAUGGUCACAGAUUUCCCUCUAGCCUCUCCUCAAAUGGAACCUGUACUCUUCCGACCUUUUCUCUCCACAGCACUCCUAAAGUCAAAUCAGAGCUUUUAGGAGCUAGUAUUACCUCUUGGUCUCAGUGCUUUCAAAAUUCACUUUCAGGAAAAAGAAUUGAUAGAGAAUUCACUUUUUUCCCAUAGGUAACUUCUUUAAGGAAUUAUUGUUUAAAAUGCAAACAAGUGAAUUUCUAAUGGUGGAACUUUAAGGUCUGACAAGUUGGUAGAGGAAUGGAAGUUGGUUUUUUAGGCUAGUAAGCCUUCAAACCUUUCCUCUGCUCCUAAUAACUUUAACACAUAAUCUCUUUUCCAGUAAAGCUAGCUCUGUUUUCAACAGACUACAAAGUAUAGCUAUCUGAUCUGCCCUUAGUCCCAUGUAACUUUGAUCUAUUUUCUUUCAGAGGUAUCGCCUUCUCAAAAAAGCCAAGAGGAACUGGCAAGGAGUUGAAAAGAAUUCUUUUUUUUUUUUUUUUUUCGCUCUAAGACUAAAAUGACCUAAGUUGCAAGGACUGGGUGAUCUCAGUUUCUCUGGAAAGUACAGUGUUGUUUUUCAUGGUUGGUAGUAAACAAAGAGCAGAACGCACCACUUGUAACACUUAUAUAAAACAACCCUUCAGUUUAUGACCUAUUGUCCAAAUUAAUGGCGGCUCACAGGGAACCUAUCUAUGGGUGGUGAUGCUGAAUCUAAUAAAAUGCAGCAUUCACAAUUUCUGUAAAAGGCAAUAGUAGCUAGAUCCAACCAUUGCUGUGGUUGCAUUGAGGAUGAACACUUCCACUGUCAAGACAGAAAAGACAUUAUUUCAAUAGUUUAUAACAUAUAGUGUUCAAAAGUUACAAAUCUGUAGCU